GCUUGGGCCAAGCGCAGCGGAGACGGCUCCGCUCCCGGUGAAAGGCUGCAGCACACAUGGCUGCUUUGCCGUGGUGCUGCUGAGCAGCGGGGUCUGCUGGCCCUCCGAAAGAUCAUCAGAAGGAAGGGCCGCUCCAGGAGGGAAAAUUUUCCCAUCGGAGGUUAAUUCUCUAGAAUUUUAGACCAAGUAUUGAGACACGUACUUAGCUUUGCCAGUCUGAUUUUGCCCACAAGGGUAGCAGACAUCUACCCCAGGGAGCAGAGCAGAGCCCAAAUCCUUUGUGAAUGCAACCAGAGAUAUUCUCAUGCUUCGUUUGCGAACACAGUGCCCAACCUGGUUAAACAAAUUAAUUCUUUUCCUCGAGGGGCUCUGCUUAAUGGAGGGAUUUCCAGAAGAACCCAAGCCUAAGACCAGUAAUAUGCUUGCCUUACCCCAGAUUUAUUUGUUGAGCUGCAGUAUCUCACUAUCAGUGAAAGCUAGCAGAGCGAUCAGCAGCAAGUUGCCAAAAGAUAAGGAAGACUGCUGAGGAGAACUUUGAGAAGUGUCUCCUGUGAAGGUUCUGCACCAAAGCUGACUCAGAUUCUGCUUUGUCGAGGCAGAGGCUAAACUUUAGAGUGGUGUCAAGUCUAUUUUUAUGAUACUAAGAUCUCCCUGGGAAUUUAUGAGAUUCUCUCUUUGGAUUCAAAUUAUCUCUUCAGGAAGUGUGGGUUAUAGAUCAGUCAUUUUAAACCAGCUGACCUCAGUCACCUUCAGAGACAGGUAAGCUCAAAUUGAAAGGAUCCCUAGGGUCAGUGGUUUCUGAAGAGGGGGGGGUGUGGGGGGGUUGUGGGUGUGUGUGCACUAUCUAAAUACUCAAAUAAGAGAAACUUGAUGCCAGGUGAGAGGGAAUUCCCUUGCAGCAGAUACAAAACACUAAAUUAAUGAAAGAACCAUUGACAUUUCAUUCUGGAACCGUUAAUGCUUCCCAAGUGGUCCAGGAUUAAGUGGAAUUAAAUUCAAUAGUGAAUCCCACUUUAUAUGAUGAUACAAGACACUAAUAGUAAUUACCUGUUGAGUGAAAAAGGAGAUAAGCAGUAGUUGAGGCGUUUGGGUCACUCAUAGCAGACUUUAGCAAUUGCCUGAAAAGGUGUUGCCUUUUGUACAGCUCAUUAUAAUCUAUCUUUAGAGCUUCGUCACUUUCAUAUCUGUUUUAUGUGCAAGAACUUCCAUGUCGAGAUGGAACGCUUGCCUCAAAUAUUCAGGGUGGGUUCAUUAAAUUUGCAACAGCAGUCAGGGGUGAAAAAGCCACUUGUCAAGCUCAGCCUGCUCAUCAAUCCACAUGCAGGUCUCCUGUUGUCUGCUGGGCAAGGAAGUGUUCAGUGUUUCCAGUGGCUUUGAAGGCUAUAGUGAGGCAGCAAAGUGCCAGGAAUGUUAGUGAGAUUGUGGAAGGCAGUAAGCCACACAGUGCAUUUCUGGAGUGAAUUUUCUAAGCAGUUCAUGAUUUUAAAACUCAAAGCUCCAUCCACAUUGCAAUUUAAGCAUUUGUAGCUAUUCUGAACAAGGGAGAAAUUAGGAGAUGCUGGAUUCUAUUACAGGAGAGUUCUUUGAUGCUGUUUUCAAACACUAUCCAGAUACUCCAUCUGAAGCUUUCAUUUAGAGUAAAUACUACAAAGGAUUAGUUUUUUGAAAGAAAUUAAAAGGAUGGAACAUUUUCUUGGCUGUUAGACAUCUGAGAAAUCCAGAAGUGGAUGAUGCCAAACUAUCUGUCAUAUGUGUACUUCCUGUAGCCUUACUCUCCUGAAUGAAAUGUGGUUACCACAAAGGAUACUUGCAAUUGAGAAGGAGAGAUCAACUAGAUUUGGCUUUCCUAAAUAUUGCCUGUCUCUUAGAAAGUGUUUUACAGUUUCUAUUACAAAUUUGAAGGAAAGGUUUUCUCAUUAACAAUUGUCAGGUUACAUUUUCAGCACAGAAAAAUUAAGGAUAUUGAGGUAAGUUUAAAGCCACCAUUUUAGAGUUUUAGUCAAGCACUUUCAUCAACUGAUUGGAAUGGCACCACAGGCACCCAAUAUACUUACAGGACCAUUUACAAAUAUGCUUCUAUUUAAUUAAUCCCUGAAGUAAAAAUAAAUAAAUAAUAAAAAUACA
Long non-coding RNA from Cyanistes caeruleus (blue tit), 2124 nucleotides. The record is from Ensembl. NCBI's taxonomy places the organism in Eukaryota, Metazoa, Chordata, Aves, Passeriformes, Paridae.